RNAcentral lists this long non-coding RNA (4062 nucleotides) under Homo sapiens (human). RNAcentral describes it as "non-protein coding lnc-MGLL-6:3". Lineage: Eukaryota; Metazoa; Chordata; Mammalia; Primates; Hominidae. The record is from RNAcentral.
CAGGACUGCCACUCAGAGCUAGUUCACCCUUGCUGCCGCCAUUCGAACCCAGAGCUCCUGGCCCAAACAGUCUGGAAUGUUCUGUACUGUGCUUCUAGGACAGUGACUUGCCAGGCCAACUCUGGGCUGGGGCUGUCUUGGCUCUGUCAGGAGGGCCUCUCCUCAGGCUUUCUCUCAGGACUCGUGGCUUUGUUCCCGCUGGCCCAGGCGAUAACCUCAGCAUUUUUACUGGAGCCUGGGGCUAGGUUUUUAAACAAACUCAAUGUAACUUGUGUACUCUGCAAUCCAAGCCGACACCCUCAUAAACUAUCCCUGCAGGUUAUUAAAUGAUUAAAGAUCUCAUUUAUGAACUGUCCAUUUUCGAGCAGCCUGAGACAGACGCUUUCACGAUUGCUCUGACCUGCUGCUCUCUCUAGUGAGAGAGAGAGAGCAGAGUGUCCCUGACAUUCUGGAAGCUGAGCCACAGAUUCAGUGCAUCUCACUGAAGGCGAGGCACUUAGCUUAAGCUGUCUCCUAUGACCAGGCUCCAGGAUUCAAUAUUUACAUCUCCCUGGAGUUUCAGAAGGUCAUCUGGGGACAUUUUUCUUGGCAAGACCUGGUGGUUUCCUCAGUCCCAGCUGUGAGUGAGAAGCCGUUUUUACCUUGAAGCUGUGUUCAGGGGGGAGUUCUGUUGUGAGUCCCUCCCAGCUCCUUUUCUUGGUUGUCCUUGUACCAUCCAGUAACUUCAGAGGGCCCCUUUUUGCCCAGCUGCAUUUAGCUUUGGAUUUCAGACAGUGAAGCCCCUCCUGCAUAAGCUAAGAUUGUUUCAGUGGAGCUCACACCCUGGCAGUUCACCCAUGAGCCCAGCAGAUACGUUUCAUGUGGCCUAUGCAGUGUUUGUGAAAUGUUUGAACAAGUUGCUGACAUCUAGACAUCAGGACAUUUCUUUCUUUCUUUCUUUUUUUGAGAUGGAGUUUCUCUCUUGUUGCCCAGGCUGGAGUGCAACGGCCCAAUCUCAGCUCACUGCAACCUCCGCCUCCCGGGUUCAAGCAAUUCUCCUGCCUCAGCCUCCUGAGUAGCUGGGAUUACAGGCAUGUGCCACCACACCCACCUAAUUUUUGUCUUUUUAGUAGAGAUGGGGUUUCGCCAUGUUGGUCAGGCUGGUCUUAAACUCCAGACCUCAGGUGAUCCACCUGCCUCCGCCUCCCAAAGUGCUGGGAUUACAGGCGUGAGCCAUUGUGUCCUGCCAAAAUCAGGACGUUUCGUACAAGGAUCUGAGUUCUGAGCCUGUCUUGAGAAAAGGGAAGACUGCAGACAACACCUUGCAGCAGUGGUGGCCGCGGGUGGAGGGGCUGCCUCCCCAGGGUGUUUGCUGGCCAAGCAUUUCACCCUCACCUGGCUCAUCGCAGCCGCUCUGUCCUGCUGGGGCUUUCCAAGGCCUUUCCCAUCUGUGGGCAGCCAAUGUGCUGUCCCCCAAGCCCAACCGCGAUCAUCAGAGACUGGGCUCCCCCUGCAGCUCCUGCCCGCAGGGUCCCAGCCUGGAGAGCUGACAGGCGAGGCUUGAUGUGGCCACCUCAGUAAACCUCUGGCUCUCCUCCCUCCUGGAAGGCUGAAGCUGGGACUCAGUCUUUCCCAGCUCCUGUGCCUCUACACUGGGUGUGCUUUUAUGGCUUUAAUUUCAACAAGGGCUUCUUGAUAUCUUGUUUACGAAGCUGCCAAAGUGAAAAAUUCCUGUAUUAUAUGCGGCUCGAAGUCCUGCAGUUAUCUCAGCUCCACAACACACAACAUCAUUAUCCUGGCUGCCCCUUAUCACUCAGUGCUGGUACGCCUGCAGGAUCCUGGUCCACCGUGUUACAGCAUCCCCGCCGCCAGCCUGCCUCCCCUCCAACUCUACCAAGAUCUUCAAACUGCAACAAGCGUCAGCCUCUUCUUGAUAGAUUAGAUAUCUCCCGGUGAUGUUAUGAGGCCUGGUAAAUCUUUAAAAGUAACUGUUUUGAUUUAUUUAACCAUCAUAUUUAUCAAGCAAAUAAAAAAUGUCCCUUCUUGCCUGAGUGCUUGUAGGCAGUAGUGCCCAUGCUGGAGAGGAAGGUUAGAGCCCUUGCAGGAGCCCCGGGUAGGUUAGAAGAGGCCCCAGUUCUCUGCCUGGGGACAGGGGACGGGAGGACAUGGAGGCAAGAGUGAGCCACUUGGGAAGCUGCAUACCUCCUUGGGCACCAGCCACACUUGAGUCAGUUGAAUACAGCACACUGGCCGUGAUGCUAUUCAUGCAUACUGCAGGGCCGCACAUGCCUCCUGGAGGGUGCCGGGCCGGCAGUGCUGGGCAGGCGUUGGCUCCCUGCCCACCAACCCAGGUCUCAGUUUCUCUUAUGCUGCACAGUGAGAAAUCUGAGCAACAUUGUCUUUAAAGCACUUUAGAAAUGGGGCACUUGAGGUCAGUCACCGUUGAUCAUGUUUUUUAUCCUUUAAAAGAUCAUUAAAAUCCGUGCCCAGACGGAAGGAAUCAACAUCAGUGAGGAGGCACUGAACCACCUGGGGGAGAUUGGCACCAAGACCACACUGAGGUGAGCUGGUACCCUGGGCCCGCCGGGGCCUCCCCAGCACAGCCAGGGCCCUCGCUGGGGUCAUUCUGGACAAUAAAGGCAGGUCCCUUCCUAGGGCAUGGGACUCUAUCCAUCCGCUCUUCCUGGCGCGAUGGGUGCCAGGGCACUUGAGUUUCAAAUGCAGAGGAUCUAUCUGAUGGUUUUUAACAAGCUAGAGUAAGGGUGAAGUCCCCAUGUCCUGCAGCAGAUGCUCCCCUCUGGUGGAGAGUGCUUUGACCCUGGGCCUUCUUGUGGCAGAGAAGAUGCACAGAACUAGAGAGCAGGGACCAUGUGGUAGCUCAUUAGCCAGGGCCCUGGCUCCUGUUCUCCCGGUGGUGUUAUGAGGCCUGGUAAAUCUUUAACUUUUUUGAUUUAUUUAACCAUCAAGCAAAUAAAAAAUGUCUGGGUGGUGGAUAUGGAGAGCCAGGGAGGAGCGCAGACAUAGACAGUUCUCCUAAUUGUUCUCCAGCGGCUCAAACACAGGACCGGCAGAGCAUGUCCCUUCACAGUGGCCUGACUCAUUGUAAAAUCAUUGCUUCACAGUCCUCAGCCCUUCCCUACAUCCCUUGAGUCAGUUCUUGCUCCUGAGGUUGAAGGCAGAAAUGCAAGCUGUGAGGUUUGGAUGAAGGGGUACUUUUUAAAACGGCAGAGUCUUCAUGCCUUUGGAUGGGCAUGUACUUCCAGCUGGCUAUGUUUUCAUUUCCCUGCCAUGUUAAAUAUCCCUAUCUGUCGGACACCUGUAUACAUAUAAGUUUGCAGUCCUUUUCCAGUAGCAGUGACAUUACUUCCUACUGGAGGAUUUGUAGACUGUACUAAAGAUUUGGGGAAUAGCACUUAUGUCUUCUUGGUGGCUCCUGGACCCUCUCUGAUGGGAUAAUGACUGCAGCUCUCUGAGAAGUGACAACUUUGUCUCCCCUUUUCUGUGUUCGUAGCAGCUGGCACAAGCCCAGCACUGGGCUCUGCUCCUGGUGCCAGUGCUGCCUACUGAUGUGGGGGGAAGGUGCUUUCUUCGGUGGCCCCAGUUUCACUCCAGCCCUGGCCCCUGUCCACUCUAGGUACUCAGUGCAGCUGCUGACCCCGGCCAACUUGCUUGCUAAAAUCAACGGGAAGGACAGCAUUGAGAAAGAGCAUGUCGAAGAGAUCAGUGAACUUUUCUAUGAUGCCAAGUCCUCCGCCAAAAUCCUGGCUGACCAGCAGGAUAAGUACAUGAAGUGAGAUGGCUGAGGUUUUCAGCAGUAAGAGACUCCCCAGGUGUGCCUGGCCUGGGUCCAGCCUGUGGGCGCUUGCCCCUGGGCUUGGGGCUGCCGUCCCCACUCAGGCGUGGUCUGCAGCGCUGUCAGUUCAGUGUGGAAAGCAUUUCUUUUUAAGUUAUCGUAACUGUUCCUGUGGUUGCUUUGAAAGAACCCUUCCUUACCUGGUGUGUUUUCUAUAAAUCUUCAUAGGUUAUUUUGAUUCUCUCUCUCUCUCUCUCUAAGUUUUUUAAAAAUAAACUUUUCAGAACAGU